UGGGGGAUAUUGCACAAUGGGCGCAAGCCUGAUGCAGCGACGCCGCGUGAGCGAAGAAGUGCUUCGGUAUGUAAAGCUCUGUCAGCAGGGAAGAAAGUGACGGUACCUGAGGAAGAAGCCCCGGCUAAAUACGUGCCAGCAGCCGCGGUAAUACGUAUGGGGCAAGCGUUAUCCGGAUUUACUGGGUGUAAAGGGAGCGUAGGCGGCAAGGCAAGUCUGAUGUGAAAGCCCGGGGCUCAACCGCGGGACUGCAUUGGAAACUGCCGGGCUGGAGUGCCGGAGGGGCAAGCGGAAUUCCUAGUGUAGCGGUGAAAUGCGUAGAUAUUAGGAGGAACACCAGUGGCGAAGGCGGCUUGCUGGACGGUGACUGACGCUGAGGCUCGAAAGCGUGGGGAGCAAACAGG
RNAcentral lists this ribosomal RNA (404 nucleotides) under uncultured bacterium. RNAcentral describes it as "bacterial SSU rRNA". It matches the Rfam family "Bacterial small subunit ribosomal RNA", at positions 355 to 776 of the family's 1533-position model. The record is from RNAcentral.